RNAcentral lists this ribosomal RNA (515 nucleotides) under uncultured bacterium. RNAcentral describes it as "partial 16S ribosomal RNA". It matches the Rfam family "Bacterial small subunit ribosomal RNA", at positions 28 to 523 of the family's 1533-position model. The record is from RNAcentral.
GAUGAACGCUGGCGGCGUGCCUAAUACAUGCAAGUCGAGCGAAUGGAUUAAGAGCUUGCUCUUAUGAAGUUAGCGGCGGACGGGUGAGUAACACGUGGGUAACCUGCCCAUAAGACUGGGAUAACUCCGGGAAACCGGGGCUAAUACCGGAUAACAUUUUGAACCGCAUGGUUCGAAAUUGAAAGGCGGCUUCGGCUGUCACUUAUGGAUGGACCCGCGUCGCAUUAGCUAGUUGGUGGGGUAACGGCUCACCAAGGCAACGAUGCGUAGCCGACCUGGGAGGGUGAUCGGCCAAACUGGGACUGAGACACGGCCCAGACUCCUACGGGAGGCAGCAGUAGGGAAUCUUCCGCAAUGGACGAAAGGCUGACGGAGCAACGCCGCGUGGGUGAUGAAGGCUUUCGGGUCGUAAAACUCUGUUGUUAGGGAAGAACAAGUGCUAGUUGAAUAAGCUGGCACCUUGACGGUACCUAACCAGAAAGCCACGGCUAACUACGUGCCAGCAGCCGCGGUAA